CCCAAAUUCCCCAUCCGCAUGCCGGGGGCACCACGGGGUGGGGGGUGGGGGCUGCAAGAAAGCGCCCCCCCCCCUCCCCUCGCCGCCAGCGGAUCGGGGACGCCGGCAUUGGGGACCCCCGGUUCUUCGUAAGCGGGGUUGCCAAGGGAACGCCGGCAUCGGCACGGCACCAGCAUCCGGCCCUAUGAUACCGGCAUCAGGCCCUAUAACACCGGCAUCAGGCCCCAUAGCACCGGCACCGUGCCCCAUAACACCAGAAUCGUGCCCCAUGGCACCAGCAUCAGGCCCCACAGCACCAGAAUCGUGCCCCAUGGCACCGGCACGGUGCCCCGCGGCGUCAUCACCACGGUGUUGGCACGGCACCCCGUGGCACAGCACCCCAUGGCACUGCACCCCAUGGCACGGCACCCCGUGGCACUGCACCCCGUGGCACGGCGCCCCAUGGCACGGCGCCCCAUGGCACAGCACCCCGUGGCACGGCACCCCAUGGCACUGCACCCCAUGGCACAGCACCCUGUGUCCCGGUGCCCCAUGGCACUGCACCCCAUGGCACGGCACCCCGUGGCACGGCACCCCGUGGCACAUCACCCCAUGGCACGGCACCCCAUGGCACGGCACCCCGUGGCACAGCACCCCAUGGCACGGCACCCCAUGGCACUGCACCCCAUGGCACAGCACCCUGUGUCCCGGUGCCCCAUGGCACCACACCCCAUGGCACUGCACCCCGUGGCCCGGCACCCCGUGGCACAGCACCCCGGGGCACCGCUUCUGCCGGCCCCAGCCCCGCUCCCCGAGCACCCCUUCCUGCGGCAGCGCUUCUCCCCGGCACCGGAAUCCCUUCCCGUGGCGCCCGCCCUGCCGCAUCGCUUCCCGCGGCACCGGCAUCGCUCCCGGGGGAUCCCCCUUCCCUAUGGGAUCCCCCUUCCUAUGGGAUCCCCCUUCCCUAUGGGAUCCCUUUUCUUAUGGGAUCCCCAUUCCUAUGGGAUCCCCUUUUUUAUGAGAUCCCCUUCCCUAUGGGAUCCCCAUUCCUAUGGGAUCCCCUUUUCUAUGAGAUCCCUUUCCCUAUGGGAUCCCCAUUCCUAUGGGAUCCCCCUUCCUAUGGGAUCCCCUUCCCUAUGGGACCCCUUUUCUAUGAGAUCCCUUUUCCUGUGGGAUCCCCCUUCCUAUGGGAUCCCUUUUUCUAUGGGAUCCCCCUUCCUAUGGGAUCCCUUUUCCUAUGGGAUCCCCUUCGCUAUGGGAUCCCUUCCUCUGGGAUCCUUUUCCACGGGAUCCCUUCCCAUGGGAUCCCAUCCCACGGCACCGGCAUCGUUCCCGGUGGGGCGCACGGGGCCGUGGGGUGGGCACAAAGCUCUCCGCCCGUUAUCCCCCCCCCGUCCCCCCUCCCGUGGCAGCACCGGGCCCACCGGGGGGACCAAGG
This 1417-nucleotide long non-coding RNA is filed under the name Anser cygnoides (Swan goose). RNAcentral's name for it is "lncRNA (ENSACDG00005016049.1)". Lineage: Eukaryota; Metazoa; Chordata; Aves; Anseriformes; Anatidae. The record is from RNAcentral.